AGGAUGAGGUUAACUGUUUCUUAACUUUUAACUAAAAAAAUUAAGAACCGAUUUUUAAAUAAAAAUUUUAAGAACCGAUUCUUAGCUUUUUUGGUUAAAAAUUAAGAAACAGUUCCUUAACUU
RNAcentral lists this microRNA precursor (123 nucleotides) under Brassica napus (rape). RNAcentral describes it as "MIR9563 microRNA precursor family". It matches the Rfam family "MIR9563 microRNA precursor family". The record is from Rfam by way of RNAcentral. Lineage: Eukaryota; Viridiplantae; Streptophyta; Magnoliopsida; Brassicales; Brassicaceae.